GAUGAACGCUGGCGGCGUGCUUAACACAUGCAAGUCGAACGAAGCAUUUGCGCUAGAUUUUUUCGGAAUGAAGUUGCUUAUGAGUGAGUGGCGGACGGGUGAGUAACGCGAGGGUAACAUGCCUUGUACUGGGGGAUAGUAGCUGGAAACGGCUGGUAAUACCGCAUAAGCGCAGAAUGAUGGAUGACAUGGUGUGAAAAAGUCCGGUGGUUUAAGAUGGACUCGCGUCUGAUUAGCGAGUUGGUGAGAUUACAGCCCACCAAGGCGGCGAUCAGUAGCCGACAUGGGAGGGUGACCGACCAGAAUUGGACUGAGACACAGCCCAGACUCCUACGGGAGGGAGCGGAGUAUUAUAUUGCACAAUGGAGGAUGCUCUGAUGCAGCCGCGCCGCGGAAGAGAAGAAGUGAGUCGUUAAGUGAUGCCCUAUCAGCAGGGGAGUUAGUGACGGUACCGGGCUAAGAAGCACCGGCUAAAUACGUG
RNAcentral lists this ribosomal RNA (481 nucleotides) under uncultured bacterium. RNAcentral describes it as "partial 16S ribosomal RNA". It matches the Rfam family "Bacterial small subunit ribosomal RNA", at positions 28 to 507 of the family's 1533-position model. The record is from RNAcentral.